RNAcentral lists this ribosomal RNA (425 nucleotides) under uncultured bacterium. RNAcentral describes it as "partial 16S ribosomal RNA". It matches the Rfam family "Bacterial small subunit ribosomal RNA", at positions 354 to 796 of the family's 1533-position model. The record is from RNAcentral.
GUGGGGAAUAUUGGACAAUGGGCGCAAGCCUGAUCCAGCCAUGCCGCGUGAGUGAUGAAGGCCUUAGGGUUGUAAAGCUCUUUUGUCCGGGAAGAUAAUGACUGUACCGGAAGAAUAAGCCCCGGCUAACUUCGUGCCAGCAGCCGCGGUAAUACGAAGGGGGCUAGCGUUGUUCGGAAUCACUGGGCGUAAAGCGCACGUAGGCGGACCAUUAAGUCAGGGGUGAAAGCCUGGAGCUCAACUCCAGAACUGCCUUUGAUACUGAUGGUCUCGAGUAUGGAAGAGGUUGGUGGAACUGCGAGUGUAGAGGUGAAAUUCGUAGAUAUUCGCAAGAACACCGGUGGCGAAGGCGGCCAACUGGUCCAUUACUGACGCUGAGGUGCGAAAGCGUGGGGAGCAAACAGGAUUAGAUACCCGAGUAGUCC